CCAUCCAGAGGGGGAUUGACACACGGUCCCCACUCUUACGGGAGGCAGCAGCAGGGAAUCUUGUGCAAUGGGGGAAAGCCUGACCCAAGUUACGUCGCGUGGGGGAUGAAGGCCUUAGGGUUGUAAACCCCUUUUACCAGGGAAGAGAGAGGACGGUACCUGGGGAAUAAGCCCCGGCUAACUACGUGCCAGCAUCCGCGGUAAUACGUAGGGGGCAAGCGUUACCCGGAAUCACUGGGCGUAAAGAGCGCGUAGGCGGCUAGGUAAGUCUCUUGUGAAAGCUCACGGCUUAACUGGGAGAGGUCAAGAGAUACUACCUGGCUAGAGGGCAGUAGAGGAAGGCGGAAUUCUCGGUGUAGCGGUGAAAUGCGUAGAUAUCGGGAGGAACAACAGUGGCGAAAGCGGCCUUCUGGGCUGUGCCUGACGCUGAGGCGCGAGAGCGUGGGGAGCAAACUGGAUUAGAUACCCUGGUAGUC
RNAcentral lists this ribosomal RNA (476 nucleotides) under uncultured Chloroflexota bacterium. RNAcentral's name for it is "bacterial SSU rRNA". It matches the Rfam family "Bacterial small subunit ribosomal RNA", at positions 304 to 795 of the family's 1533-position model. Lineage: Bacteria; Bacillati; Chloroflexota. The record is from RNAcentral.